RNAcentral lists this ribosomal RNA (429 nucleotides) under Actinomycetes bacterium. RNAcentral describes it as "Actinobacteria bacterium partial 16S ribosomal RNA". It matches the Rfam family "Bacterial small subunit ribosomal RNA", at positions 355 to 776 of the family's 1533-position model. Lineage: Bacteria; Bacillati; Actinomycetota; Actinomycetes. The record is from RNAcentral.
UAGGGAAUCUUCCGCAAUGGGCGAAAGCCUGACGGAGCAACGCCGCGUGAGUGAUGAAGGUCUUCGGAUCGUAAAACUCUGUUAUUCGGGAAGAACAAAUGUGUAAGUAACUAUGCACGUCUUGACGGUACCUAAUCAGAAAGCCACGGCUAACUACGUGCCAGCAGCCGCGGUAAUACGUAGGUGGCAAGCGUUAUCCGGAAUUAUUGGGCGUAAAGCGCGCGUCGGCGGUUUUUUAAGUCUGAUGUGAAAGCCCACGGCACAACCGUGGAGGGUCAUUGGAAACUGGAAAACUUGAGUGCAGAAGAGGAAAGUGGAAUUCCAGGUGUAGCGGUGAAAUGCGCAGAGAUAUGGAGGAACACCAGGGGCGAAGGCGACUUUCUGGUCUGUAACUGACGCUGAUGUGCGAAAGCGUGGGGAUCAAACAGG